RNAcentral lists this long non-coding RNA (677 nucleotides) under Homo sapiens (human). RNAcentral describes it as "HSALNT0387279". Lineage: Eukaryota; Metazoa; Chordata; Mammalia; Primates; Hominidae. The record is from RNAcentral.
CAAAGAUUAGAAACAACCCAAAUGUCUAGUGGCAGGUGAGGCAGAAGUACACUGAUUUCCGCCGUUGUUUAUUACCUAGGCCUUACUGGGUACCAGGUGGGUCUGGUGGAUGCACUUUUCAUGCUGUGUCUCAUUUUGUCUUCAAAACGACUGUAGCGGCUCUGGAGGUCAAAAGAAAUGAGACUGCUGGGCUAAGAUCAAGGUGUCAGCAGGGCUGUAUUCCUUCCCAAGGCUCCAGGGGAGAAUCUGUUCACUUGCCUUUCCCAGCUUCUAGAGGUUGCCUACAUUCCUUGGCUUGCGGACCCUUCCUCCAUCUCCAGAAUCAGUAACGAAAGAUCCAAAGCCAUAUCCUGGCUGAGUUGGCUGAGUUGAGCAGGACACUGACAAGGAGGCUGCUGAGCCUGCAACUCGACUGUUCUGUUUGAGGAGCUCUGUGCUUUAUCAUAGAAAUGGAUCUGAGGUGGGGUGUUGCUUUGUCUUGUGAUCGCAGCUCACGGCAGCCUUGGACUCGUGGGCACGAGCAAUCCUCCCACUUCAGCCUCCCAAGUAGCUGGGACCACAGGUACAUGCCACUGCACCUGGCCUAGUAUUCUCUAUCAAAUACUUAUUCAACAGUUAAAAUCUAUAUAGACCUUUGAGAUAGGAUAAUAAAAUAUUAUAGCUUGUAAUAAUUUUUU